RNAcentral lists this ribosomal RNA (781 nucleotides) under uncultured eukaryote. RNAcentral describes it as "SSU rRNA". It matches the Rfam family "Eukaryotic small subunit ribosomal RNA", at positions 21 to 862 of the family's 1831-position model. The record is from RNAcentral.
GGUAUAUGCUUGUCUCAAAGACUAAGCCAUGCAAGUGCCUGUAUGAGUGUUUAUACAACGAAACUGCGAAUGGCUCGGUAAAACAGCAAUAAUUUAUUCGGGGGUAAUUGCUACUUGGAUAACCGUAGUAAAGCUAGAGCUAAUACGUGCUACAACGGCGAGACUSGCUCUCGUGGUACUAAGUAUUAGGUACAACCCAAUUUUAUUGGUGAUUCAUACUUAUCUUCUGAUCGCACUCUGUGCGACGCCCCGAACAAAUUUCUGACCUAUCAACUUCGAUGGUAAGGUAGUGUCUUACCAUGGUUGUGACGGGUAACGGACCGUGGGUGCGGGAUUCCGGAGAGGGAGCCUGAGAAACGGCAACCACAUCCAAGGAAGGCAGCAGGCGCGCAACUUACCAAUCCGAACUUCGGGAGGUAGUGACAAAAAAUAUCAAUAGGGGGGCCGAUGGUCUUCCUAAUUGGAAUGAAAACAAUCUAAAUACCUUAUUAAGGAACCAGCAGAGGGCAAGUCUGGUGCCAGCAGCCGCGGUAAUUCCAGCUCUGUAAGCGUAUACCAAAGUUGUUGCAGUUAAAACGCUCGUAGUCGAACCUUGGCGUGGGUUAUGGAGGCUCCUAAUGGACGUCGAAGUACUCCGCCUUUGUGGAGGGGGGUGUGGUGUACUUAUGUAUGCCGCAUUCCGCCACUGUUUACUGUGAAAAUAGAGGUGUUCAAGCGAGCGCUGCAUGAAUACAUAGCAUGGAAUAAUAGAAUAGGACUGGUCUGUUUUAUUGGUUUGUCU